UACGUAGGGAGCAAGCGUUGCCCGGAAUCAUUGGGCGUAAAGAGCGUGUAGGCGGCCCGGUAAGUCCGCUGUGAAAGUCGGGGGCUCAACCCUCGAAUGCCGGUGGAUACUGUCGGGCUAGAGUGCGGAAGAGGCGAGUGGAAUUCCUGGUGUAGCGGUGAAAUGCGCAGAUAUCAGGAGGAACACCGGUGGCGAAGGCGGUUCUCUGGGCCUUACCUGACGCUGAGGAGCGAAAGCGUGGGGAGCAAACAGG
This 253-nucleotide ribosomal RNA is filed under the name uncultured bacterium. Its description in RNAcentral is "partial 16S ribosomal RNA". It matches the Rfam family "Bacterial small subunit ribosomal RNA", at positions 524 to 776 of the family's 1533-position model. The record is from RNAcentral.